GAUGAACGCUGGCGGCGUGCCUAAUACAUGCAAGUCGAGCGAACAGGCGAGGAGCUUGCUCCUCUGUCGAGAGCGGCGGACGGGUGAGUAACGCGUGGAGAAUCUGCCUAUGAGAGGGGGAUAACAUCGGGAAACGGGAGCUAAUACCGCAUAAUAUCUUGAAACAUAUGGUUCAAUAGUGAAAGACGGAUUUGCUGUAACUAAUAGAGGUAUCCGCGCCGCUUUGGUUGGUGGUGAAGGUAACGGUCUCCAAAGGCAACGAUGCGUAGCCGACCUGAGAGGGGGUUCGCCCACUCUGGACUGGGACCACGCUCCAGCCCCCUACGGGAGGCACCAGUGGGAAAUCUUCGGCAUUGGGGGAAAUCCUGCCGGACCACGCCCGCGUGGGUGAUGAGGGUCUCCGGUUCGUAAACCUCUUUUAUUGGGGAGAACCAAAUGUGGAAUGGACUGUGCACGUAGUGACGGUAACUACUCAGAAAGCCACGGCUAACUACGUG
RNAcentral lists this ribosomal RNA (497 nucleotides) under uncultured bacterium. Its description in RNAcentral is "partial 16S ribosomal RNA". It matches the Rfam family "Bacterial small subunit ribosomal RNA", at positions 28 to 507 of the family's 1533-position model. The record is from RNAcentral.